This is a long non-coding RNA of Castor canadensis (American beaver), 775 nucleotides long. Lineage: Eukaryota; Metazoa; Chordata; Mammalia; Rodentia; Castoridae. The record is from Ensembl.
AAGUUUAGGUUUUUACCACCUUCUAUAUGGUUGAUCUAUGUAUUUCAAUACUUACUCUUUAAACAGGAUCAACUCCAAUUUGUGAAGAUAUUGGCAGGCAGAUGUUAUGCUAUAAUAGAAGAAUUCCCAUCCCUGAGCUUGAAGCAAGAAUUGAUGCUGUGAAUGCUGACACAAUUCGAGAAGUGUGUACCAAAUACAUUUAUGGUAAAAGUCCAGCUGUUGCUGCUGUUGGUCCCAUUGAGCAGCUACCAGAUUUUCACCAGAUUUGCAGCAAUAUGUGCUGGCAUCAUGAUUAAAAUACUUUUAAUCAAAUACAUUUGUAAAACUAAGAGACCAGCAGGUUUUAAGCUAUCGAAGGAAAAAAUAAAAAUGUACUUGAAAAUUUGAAUUAAAUAUUGUCAUACUUUCAGACUACCACCAUGAUUGUAUAAUGGUCAGCCUUUAUGCUGAGAAACUGGGUUGGAAACACACUUUGAAAUUAUUAAUGUAUUUUGAAAAUGAAACCUUGUAUAGUAUUUUCAGUUUUAUUAUAAAAAAUGCACACAUAACGAAGAUUGUCAUUUUUUGGCUCUACUUGCAUUUAGCACUUGCUCUUGAGCAGCUUUCUUUGCUUUGACCAUCUCAACAAGUUCCUAGAAGGGAGAAAGGUUUAAAUUAAGAAGCUGCCACUUUAAAAACAGACAUCCAGUGUUUGAUAUGAAACAUAAAUAAUUCGCAAGUGGUAGAAGCCAUGAGUUCGAACCCUAGUGGGGUUUGAACAGUGGGGGUGGGGUGG